UGGGGAAUUUUGGACAAUGGGGGCAACCCUGAUCCAGCCAUGCCGCGUGCGGGAAGAAGGCCUUCGGGUUGUAAACCGCUUUUAGUCGGAAAGAAAAGACACGCCCUAAUACGGCGUGUUCUUGACGGUACCGGCGGAAUAAGCACCGGCUAACUACGUGCCAGCAGCCGCGGUAAUACGUAGGGUGCGAGCGUUAAUCGGAAUUACUGGGCGUAAAGCGUGCGCAGGCGGUUCGUUGUGUCUGAUGUGAAAUCCCCGGGCUCAACCUGGGAAUGGCAUUGGAAACUGGCGGACUUGAGUGUGGCAGAGGGGGGUGGAAUUCCGCGUGUAGCAGUGAAAUGCGUAGAGAUGCGGAGGAACACCGAUGGCGAAGGCAGCCCCCUGGGCCAACACUGACGCUCAGGCACGAAAGCGUGGGGAGCAAACAGGAUUAGAUACCUGGUAGUCCACGCCCUAAACGAUGUCGACUGGGUGUCGGGAGAGAGAUCUCUUGGUACCGUAGCUAACG
RNAcentral lists this ribosomal RNA (508 nucleotides) under uncultured Pseudomonadota bacterium. RNAcentral describes it as "bacterial SSU rRNA". It matches the Rfam family "Bacterial small subunit ribosomal RNA", at positions 355 to 857 of the family's 1533-position model. The record is from RNAcentral. Lineage: Bacteria; Pseudomonadati; Pseudomonadota.